Long non-coding RNA from Oncorhynchus kisutch (coho salmon), 4437 nucleotides. The record is from Ensembl. Lineage: Eukaryota; Metazoa; Chordata; Actinopteri; Salmoniformes; Salmonidae.
UGCUCAUGUGAUUAUUCACAUUAAGUCAGGGAAGAGAGAGAGACGAGCUAACUCCAUGUUAAGUGUUUGCUAUUAAAAACUAAUGCCCCAUGUAAUUCAAUUACGUUUUUGAAAUUGGUAUCUCAUGAUGUCGAAUAUGAUUUACUAUUGGGUCAUAAAAUCAUCAGUGUUUUAUCCUCUGCCUGUAAAUCAUGGCUGCAGCAGUGACAGUAAAUGAUAGAAUCAUCAGAUAUGGAUGUAUUACUAGAUACAGAGCAGUUAUAUACAAGUCAUAGUAUUGAUUAAACUGAUUUACUGUAGUGUAGAAACAUAUCAUAUCAAAAUAUGCACAAUAUGGAUUAUAGUAUAUUUUCAUCAUGCCCUGCUGCUGUUGCUAGUCUCUGUCACCCUGAUGAACAGGAAACACAGUAAGGUUAUUGCUUGACAUGAAGUCUUCCUGUUUACUGCAGAAUCUGCCAGUGUGUGUGCGUGUGCGUGUGUGUAUUUGAAUGAUUGAGUGAGAGAGAGGGAGAGAAUACUUAUCUGACAAUGCAAAGUGCAAUGUAUUUUCUGAUGUCUUCCAGAUGAAGUUAUAGUCCAUUGACACAACCAGAGGAUGCUUCUGCUACAACCUUACAAUAUGGAGGAGGACAUGGAGAUUGACCGUAACGUCACUGGGAUCCUUGGAGAGGAUGUCUUCCUCCGCUGUCAGUACCUGGGACCGAAUGACAUCACAGAAGCCUCAUGGAAACGCCCAGACUCUAGAAUGAAACGAUCGAUGAAGAAAUUAACAGGCUACAAGAACAACAAGGCUUUCAGCAAAGACCCAGACUUCUCCGCCCCAGCCUCUCCCACCAAUCUGACUGUGAAGAUGAGGGUGUCUACUCUGGAGGUCCAGGGGGAGUACACAUGUGUGUUCGCCACCGAUGAAGAGGAGAUCACUAACAGCAUGUUUCUCACUGUUCUGGCUCGACCUGAUAUCUACACAGUGGUGACAGAGGACACAGACAACGCUACCCACUACCAGUCAGUCACAUGCUCAGCUACCAAUGGUAAACCUGUGGCUCUGAUUCGCUGGGAGAUCAACGGCAGCCCUCCUACUGACGACUCCUCUGUGGAGAUGAGGAACACCAGUUAUACCAAUGGCACUGCCACUAUGACCAGCUUACUCCGCUUCCCCACCCACCUACAGGACCAGGACAGGGUGACCUGUGUGGUCCAGCACCCAACCCUGCCUGACCCCACCACACAUGUCACAGUGAGGGUGGAGACCUUCGUGGCUCCCAAUGUGACCAUUGAGACAUACCUGGUUCUAGAGGAAGGGGAGAAGUUCUGGGUGGUCGCCUGUGGUGCGGCCAGAGGGCGACCCCGAGCUGACAUCACCCUGGUGCUGACCAAUCAGGAGGUCAGUUCCAUGCUACAGAAGGAGGUUGUCAUGGAUGCAGCAGACACAUGGGUCAGGUCAUACCGCUUCCCAGCUGAGCUUCAUGAAGGGGAAAACAUCACCUGCAUGUUUGACCACCCCAAGUUCCCAAACGGAGAACUUCGGACCGUCACUUUGCCGGCAUUCUCUCUGUCUGCUGUUCGGCUGCAGAACCCAGGGUUGGCCGACAGCAGCAAUAAGAGCCAGGCUGUAGAGUCAGUGGUUCUGGAGGAAGGACAGAGCAAAACCACCAUCGGGCUAGAGGUCGUUGGGGAUGUACCACGUUACAGUAUAGUAUGCACCAAAGAAGAGCAGUCUCUCCCUGAGGGUGUGGCAGUAUUUGGCAGUGCUCUAACCCUGCAGGGUCCUGUCGAGCUCUACCAUGCAGGGCUGUAUGAGUGUGAGGCCUCCUACUACAGCCACAGGGCAUCUGUACUGCUGGACAUUACCGUUAACCCACAUGUCAAGCAGCCUGUGACUGUUCCUCCCAGCAUAAGGAUUGAUGUCCAGGACAGACUGGGUGACAGAUUCAUUGAGUGCCUGGCUGCGGACUCCGUCCCUGUUGCCAAUGUGUCCUGGGUUCUACCUGAGGGUGUGUCUGGGCCCUCCUGGUCCAGUCUCACAUCCCAUAAUGGAACCUAUUCUGUCAGCAGUGUGUUAGUACUGCCUGCCUGCUCAGCCCAGGAGCUCAAUAUGGAGUGUGUGAUAGAUCAUACUGUGUUUGUGUUGCCAGAGAGAAGACAGAUAACACUCCCUGUGUGUGCUCCUCCUAACAUCACCAUCCAGUCCAGCUCUGAGUGGGAGGAAGAUGUAGCAUACACACUGGUGCAGUGCACUGUGGACAAUGUUGGACCUGCUGCCACCAUCUCCUGGAGUCUUGGGGACAGUGACAAUAGUACCAGUCAGCUCAUGGAGGUGCAGGAGCAGCAGGUUCACAGGCAGCCUGAGCUCCAUGCCAAUGGCUCUGUGACGGUCCGUAGUGUGUUGAGGUUCCCCACUUCCAUGUUCUCUGGUCAGAAUGUCACCUGUGUGGUGGAUCACCUGGGUCUUGAGAAGCCAGAGAGAACAGGGAUACUGCUGCGUGGACUGGAGUCCCCUGUGAUGCGUGUUUUUGUUGGGAGGCAGAGGGGAUCUCCUCUGUGGCUGGCUGUAUGUGAGUACAGAGGGGACAGGCUCGGAGCACACCUCUCUUGGGUUCUACCUGACAACGCCACAGGCCACAUCUCCUUCCGCUCUGGGUAUGAAGGAGUGAGAGUGAUAACCAACCUCACCUAUGAGUUUUCACUGGCCCUCCAUGAGGGACAGGACCUGAUCUGUCUCAUUCAAAAUCACCAUGGACUAAAGGAGAGGAGGACAGUCCAUGUCCCCAAAUACUACAUCUCAUCUGUCAGAGUACUCAAUCAAACCACUCCCCUGUACAAACCAUAUGGAGACGAGUCCGUUAUACAUCGAAUGUCCCUAAAGGAGAAUUUCCACAACCAGAGGAUCCUGCUCAAAGUCUAUGGCAGUGUGCCAACUUAUAGCCUUACCUGUCAGAGAAAUGACGGCACAUUGGUCCAGAUGGAUGGUCGGGCUCUGUUGUUCCAUUCAGAGGUCACGGAGCAGGAGGCGGGCCUCUACACCUGCCAAGCCUCUUUCUACCACCAUCAGGCCUCGGUCCUCAUUCAAGUGGAGGUCACCAGUGAAGAUAAACAGCUCAUGAUUGUCUUCAUCGUCUGUUUCUCCUCGGCUGCAGCCAUCACGAUCCUCCUCAUCGUCACUCUGUGUGUUUUCUGCAAAAUAAAAGGAGGAGACCGCCUAGCAUCUAAGAAGCGGGAGUCGCUGGCACCCUUGACCUCUCUGACCCAGGAACUGUGCUCUCCAGAGCUGAGGAAAGGAAAGACAGCAGUGACAGUACCAGGAGGACGAGGCCAGGAGUACAACCAGCUGCUCAGCUACUCUAUUGUCAUUGAUGCCAGAUCCACUGUGUAAAUGACAGGGUGUGUCCCUACUGGCACACUAUUACCUCUAUAGAGCACUACUUGUGCACGGUAUAUGGAAUAGGGUGCCAUUUGAGACUGAAUUAUUUUAUUUGCCAGUUAAAAAAAGACAUACUCACAGUACAUGCAUUUUAAGAACUUGACCGGGAUAUCAGAGACUUUUGGUCCCUAAAUUCCAUGGUGCAAAAACAUUACAACAUUACAUAGAUAUAGAUGGACUCAUGACAUGGAUCAUUUUUUUCUUUUUUCAAUUUCUCGAUCAUUAGCCAGAUUUUGACUUUAGACACAACCACAGGCUUCUACUACAUGUUGGAGUCCACGCUACAGUAUCCUGCAUCGCUCUUACGUGGUGCAUGAUGCAGCUUCUCCUCAUGCCAAGUCAUUCAAAUGCAUUAUUUUGUGAAUUUUUUGUUUUGUUUAUUGGUGUAUUUCAUGCAUUGGUGUGUUAAAUAAUUGUAAUGUGUUGUCAAACUCAUAGAAAUUAUGUUGAGCGUAGCUUCUAUUUGUUUGACUGUUUUGUAUUAUGCUGAACUUUAAAAAGGUUAUUCAUUUUGGUUAUCUAAUGUUGUAAAAUCUGGAGCAUUAUCAAUAAAAGUAGUGUAAAUGUGUAUCUUGUUGUUAAACCUGCUUUGUUUUACAGGUUUAAGACUAAAUUAAUUGACACAAGUGUGUGCACGUACAUACACACACAUUCUUGUAUAACUAAACUUGUGUGGUCACACUUCAGUCCCACUCAAAGUCCUAUUUUCUAGAACCCCUAAACUUUAACCUUUACCCCAAAACCUAAUCUAGCUCCUGAACCUAACUCUAACCGUAACCCUAAAACCCCUAGAAAUAGCAUUUGACCAUAUGGGGACUAACAAAAUGUCCCCUAGUUGGUACAUUUUUGGUUGUUUACUAUUCUUAUGGGGACUUCUGGUCCGCACAAGUAUAGUUAAACAUGUCCAGACACACACACAGAAUGAAUUUCUUCCCACUAACCCUGAUUGUGUCAUGGAAAUAAGACACUACUAAUAGAGCUCACCUCAUCACUUGCAGAAGAGCAGGAAAAUGUAU